CCGCCCCCGCCCGGCCGUACGCCGCGAACACCCGCGCCGGCGCCGCCGCCGACUUGUCCUCCCGGCGCCGGAUCCACGCCGCGCACGCCACCUUCCCGCCUCCCGCCGCCGGAGCGUCGCCGCCGUCCAUGGGUGGCGGUUGUGGUGGCCCGGAUAGGUUCUCUCAGAGGGGUUUAGAGCUUUGCGAGGGGAGCCCGCGAGUCGAGGCGAAGCCGAAUCGAGCGCUGUGCCGCUGUUGUUUGAGGAGAGGGAAGGGUGGAGGUGGGGAUCAGACGGCGAGGGCGAGCCGAAAACGACGACCAAAUCAUGUGCGU
Molecule: unclassified non-coding RNA, 314 nt
Filed under: Zea mays
Lineage: Eukaryota; Viridiplantae; Streptophyta; Magnoliopsida; Poales; Poaceae
Description: misc RNA Zm00001eb302290
Source: RNAcentral